This 497-nucleotide ribosomal RNA is filed under the name uncultured bacterium. Its description in RNAcentral is "partial 16S ribosomal RNA". It matches the Rfam family "Bacterial small subunit ribosomal RNA", at positions 28 to 507 of the family's 1533-position model. The record is from RNAcentral.
GAUGAACGCUGGCGGCGUGCCUAAUACAUGCAAGUCGAGCGAACGGACGAGAAGAUUGCUUCUCUGAUGUUAGCGGCGGACGGGUGAGUAACACGUGGAUAACCUACCUAUAAGACUGGGAUAACUUCGGGAAACCGGAGCUAAUACCGGAUGAUAUUUUGAACCGCAUGGUUCAAAAGUGAAAGACGGUCUUGCUGUCACUUAUAGAUGGAUCCGCGCUGCAUUAGCUAGUUGGUAAGGUAACGGCUUACCAAGGCAACGAUGCAUAGCCGACCUGAGAGGGUGAUCGGCCACACUGGAACUGAGACACGGUCCAGACUCCUACGGGAGGCAACAGUAGGGAAUCUUCCGCAAUGGGCGAAAGCCUGACGGAGCAACGCCGCGUGAGUGAUGAAGGUCUUCGGAUCGUAAAACUCUGUUAUUAGGGAAGAACAUAUGUGUAAGUAACUGUGCACAUCUUGACGGUACCUAAUCAGAAAGCCACGGCUAACUACGUG